Trichonephila clavata is the source of this 67-nucleotide non-coding RNA. NCBI's taxonomy places the organism in Eukaryota, Metazoa, Arthropoda, Arachnida, Araneae, Nephilidae. The record is from the annotation of a GenBank genome assembly.
GCAGCGCAAUAUGUAGCGCGUUGGACUUCUAAUCCAAAGGUCGUGGAUUCGAAUCCCACCUGAAUUG